CACGUAGGCACCAAGCGUUGUCCGGAUUUAUUGGGCGUAAAGAGCUCGUAGGCGGUUCGGUAAGUCGGGUGUGAAAACUUUGGGCUUAACCCAAAGCGUGCAUCCGAUACUGCUGUGACUUGAGUUCGGUAGGGGAGUGGGGAAUUCCUAGUGUAGCGGUGAAAUGCGCAGAUAUUAGGAGGAACACCGGUGGCGAAGGCGGCUCACUGGCCCGGUACUGACGCUGAGGUGCGAAAGCGUGGGGAGCAAACAGG
RNAcentral lists this ribosomal RNA (254 nucleotides) under uncultured bacterium. Its description in RNAcentral is "partial 16S ribosomal RNA". It matches the Rfam family "Bacterial small subunit ribosomal RNA", at positions 524 to 776 of the family's 1533-position model. The record is from RNAcentral.